UUUGGCAGUGAAGAACCACCUCCUCCUCCUUUACGGGACAUGCCCUUCUUUCGUAGAGAGAGAGAGUCUGUGUGUCUGAUUUUGAGUUGAUGAUGAAUCGAUGCUGAAGAAGCCACAAGAUGAUGGAUAAAUCGCUCAGGACCUGAGGUUUGUAUCUUUUGGAGCGGCCUCUGUUUUUUCCUUUUCUUGUUUUUGAUUUGUGGGGUUUUCUAAUUUGUGACUAAGAGGUAGGGGAAAAUGAUAUAUCUUUAUUGGACGCUUUUCUUUUUGUCAUACAGAAAUAAAAAUAAAAACCUUUCAAUUCCUAAUUUCUUUUCAUAAUUUUAUUUGCUUUACAUCAGGAAUUCCUUCUUAGUAUUUUGAUCUAGAAAAAUUGUUCUUUCGAAAAACUUUGCAACUUUGCAUAGAACAGGUCAAAGCCUAUAUAAAUUUUCAGAAAACUAAAAGAAAAUUCCUUUUUUUGGAAAAUACACGAUCUGUAUUUGGAUCAUAUCUUAAUCUGUUAGUUUAUCUCCAGUCUCUCUAUUUCUCUUAAGCUCUUUUUGAAACACAUAUCAAAAAUACAAAAUUACACACAUUUAAAUCUCACAACUUUUGACAAAGGACCCACUAAUUUAGUGAUUUGAAGUAUUUACUCCUUCAGAUAAAGUCUUGAAUUCAAGUACUAGCAUUCAUAUAGUGCAUGUGAGUUUAGUAUAUUAUCCCUUUCUCAAUAAAAAAGGUCUUAAAUAAAAUAAAAAUUUCUCACAACUUUUGGGACGCUUCUUUAUGUAUUGGCAUAAUUUCACCUAACUAAUCUGAAACGCUUGGAGGGGGGAAAAAAAACACCUCAAAAAAUGUUGGGGGGGGAAAGUGCACAAUAUAUUUCACAAAUAAUUCUUAAUCUGCAGCAUAUUGCUAACAAAUUCCGUACAUCUUAAAUUACAUUUAUCACUGCUUCUUCUGAUAUUUUCAAUGAUUGGAACAGAGAUCAAAAAAUUAAAAGACAAAAAUUAUAUAUUAAAAAAGAAUACCACCAAAAUGAGAGGAGAGGAUUUAUCUUCAACCCAUCCAUGCAUUUUCCAAUUGCGGGGGCACAUGAAACCCUGGUUGAUCAUUUAGGCUGUAACCAUAUCAUCUUCCCCUCUCUGUGCUGCCGCAUCUGCCAGUUUUUUCCAUGUCAACUCCCGCUGUUCUUCCACCUCUCUGGACCUGGCCUCUCUCUCCGCAAGCUGCCUCUGGCACUCUUCAAACAAGUCAGCAUCCAUUUCCAAAAACAUUUUUCGAACAUUGACGGUCAGCCCAUGAACUGCUUGGUUCCAGUGACUUUGGAUAUUCCUCUCCAAUGCCUCAAAAAUAAUUGGUAGAGUGACAUUCCGGUUCUGAGCAAUUAAACCCACAAUGUGCUCAUUAUUCCACAGAAAGAGUGCUCGUUCCGCAACCUGCAUUGCAAAUGUGACUAAGCAAAAUUUUCAAGAAAGGAUAUUCUUAGAGUAAAAUACAACUUUAGAAGUUUUGAUUUGGAGUCUGAUCCUCUCACCAAUUCAUUAAUGAUGAACAUUUGGAAACAUUAGUACAAAGUCCUAACAACAUUACUCUUACCAGAUCAACACAAGUUAUUGCAAAAUUAACAAACAUUACAUUCAUAUAGUCCUAACAACAUGUCCCUUCACCAAAUUAACACAAAUUACUCUUAUCAGAAAACUUGCUUCAAGCCAACAACAUUCAUAACACAAGACAGGAACCCAAUUAAAAAUUUCCAAUCUUUUACCUCCUUAAUUCUUUUCAUUGACAUUUGUAACUUGUUUAAUAGAAUACCAAAAUAUAGCCUCACGCGCAGCACUAAGCACAUGCAUAACAGCAAGCACAAAAGUUGACAAAAUUCCAAAAUAUAUAAUUCAUAAAAAUGAAAAGUGGAGCACUUUAGGUUCAAAUCGUUGCUGCAGUCUAGAAAAACUAGUUGCAUAAAUAUCAAUGGUAAAGGGAAAAAGAAAACCUACUGCUGAUGAUGCUAAAUAAGAAUAAGUCGGGCUGUUUCAUUGGAUCAUUACAUAUUGGUGCCAGGUUUAUUUAUAACAAUUCAUGCAUGGAUCAAUAUAGAACGUAUUUCACAGAUCAGGAAACUUAUCAGCAGAAAGCUAAAUAGGGAUGGACGGAAAUCACCAAAACAAUGUCAAACACAGCAAGCAUAUUGAAAGUUAGGUUAUCUAAGGUGAACCAUUCUAGGAUAUUUCCCACCUAGUUGUGUUUUUUCCCCCUAAGGUUGACACUGCAUGCUUUCAGUUAUCUUAUAAUGGUUCUUGAUGUGAUAAGUAUCUAACUACUUCACCCAUAUCAAGUUAUAUGGCAUCUAUUCCUACAGACAGAGUACAAGUUGAUCUCUCAUUCCAUCCACUUUAUCGCAGCCUAUCUGCUUAUUCAAUAGAAAACCAAAAUGUCAAAAACACUAGCAUUUUUAACGUACUACAUGGGCAUUUCUAAGAAAUUAGCAUAUCAAAGAUCUUUCCCCAUGGGAGAAACACGCAAGUAAACAUUCAUUUGGUCCCCACUAUAACAGAUUGGAACUCUCAUUAGCACAUUAUCUGCAACAAAAGGACUAGAAAUAAGUAAAUUUAUCAAACAAGGAUAAACAGAUUAAGGCUGCAGCCUCAUGCAGAAAUAGAAGAGUACUAGUUUCAGAAAGAUUUUGGAAACGGGUUACAAUAAAUGUUCUCUAUGCAUAAGCAAAUGCGAGAAUAUAACAUAAUAUGGCACCUUUCACAAACAGCAGCAGUUUCCAUUUGUGAAACAUGUCAUAUGAAGAAACAGCUCAAUCCAUCAAUAACAUGAAAACAUAAUAUAAGUACAAUGAAAGCAUAACAAAAUAAAAAAAAACUGUGAAUUCAGAAAAAGAAAAUGGAAAGGUGAAACUUCGGACCUAGCAGAAACAGAAAAAUGCCAGUAAGUUAUAUUCAUAAAAUAAACAGUGAAAACAAAUAUAUCAUUGGGAACCAUUUGUCUUAAACAAAUAAGUUAAAGAAUUAGUUUAAAGCUUCAGCAAAAUGAAGCAAACCCAAUAAAAUUUGCAAAGAUUCCCAAACCUGGAAAUGAGAGCUAUUGAGGCAGCGAGCAAUCUGUCUGAAAAGAGGAACCAUGCAACGCUGAAAUUCAGCAGCUUGUGUAGCCUCCAGAACUUCUUCAAGUUCUCCAAGGAAAAGAACUUCCUUCUGGCAAUUGGUCAGCGGCCAGUAUUUCAACAGACCCCUAACAACCGUAUCUGCCAAUUUGUAAUCCUUUUCAACAAAUUGGGUUAUGCAGUAGGACAGCUGCUGAUGAUAAACUGCAAUUGACUUCGGCUUAUGCAGCGGUAUAAGUGCCCGAACAAGAAAUAACUUAUGCUCCUCUUUCAUUGGUAGUGCAAACCCAUUAAUUAUGCUCCCAAGAAUCUCUAAAAGCUCAGCAAUGCCGCUGUGCCUCUCAGUCUCAUAAAUAAACCGAUAGAAUAUGUUAUUGAUGGCUUUCCUGAUGAAGGGUCGGUGCACCAUGAACUUCCCAUAUAUUCGGUGAAGAAUGUUUUUCAAGUACUCACGCUCACGCGGGUCCUCAGAGUCAAACAAAUCUAGUAGCUUCAACACAAACGAGUGAUCAAUAUAACGCUUGGCAACCUUGGUAUCAGUAUCAGAUGACACAAUGUACCUAAGAAGGAGCUCAUAAACCAACUGCAAAUGAGGCCAUGAUGGCUCCAAAUAAAGCUCCUCCUCUUCAGGAUCGGCAUUCUCUUGGCCCGUGUUUUCAUGAGACGCAGGGGGCAAGCAACGAAAUAUAUUAACAGAAACCAUUUUGAUCAUCUCCUCUUGACAUGUCUCGGUGAUCUUACCCGACCCAGAUUGUAUGAAAUCAACCAAUUCCAAAAGGGUUUGACGCUUAAUUUCCUUUUCUCUAGGGGUCUUAAGGGUAUCAGAGAAAUCAAAUUGAAAGCAACAAACCUGCAAUUUGCGAAGAAACAGGGUCUGGCGUUCGGAGACGGGAGCGUCACGGAAGAACGGGAGAGGCUCGAUGGUGCCCGAAGGCGGUAACGCCGUUAUCCCCGGAGCCCCACCCGAAUUGGGACCUGAAGCAGCCGGCCCGGCCCGGGACGCGUGGUUUACGACCACAUUCGCGACUGCCCCGGAAUUUCGGGUACCCGGCGGGCCGUACCCGUAGGACGAAGGAUCAUGAGAAUCGGACUUGGAGGGCUUCUUGUUUCCCUUGAUGAUCUUCUUGAACAUAAUUUCCCAAUUUUCCCAAUGCAGCAACGAGUCCUAAACCCUAGAAUUGGGGGUGGGGAUCGGAUUGGAAUCAAAACGAGCUCGGCGAUGUUGAAAAAAAAACGAUUGGCGAUCAGAUUCAGCAUGCAUGGAACAACAACCCCAGAUUCUCAAUCAAUCAAUCAAUCCCUGCAACUCUUAUUCAAUUUGUGAUUUCUGCGUCGGAAGACGAAACUGAAACUGAAAAGGGGCGUGGGGAAGCGAAGAAAUGUACCGUCUUUGGAGUUUCGAAUCGGAGAGAGAUGUGGGUGGUGGUUGGUGGAUCCGAAAUGAAAGUCAUCUGAGUCGGAUCGCCGGAAUGCCGGCGACUUGAUCGGACGGUGGUCGUUCCGGCGAUCAACCCGAUGAGAGAGAAAGCGAGGGAGAGAGAGAAAGAGAGAGAGUGUACGUAUGUGUGUGUAUGGAAGUGGAGGGCGGAUAAUUAAGGAAAAUGAGAAAAUUAAAAAACCAAGAAAAGUUUAAAACAGCAAAAAUGGGAAUGAUUGCAAAAACGCCCUUUAUAAAUAAUUAAAAAAAACACACUGACACUUGUUUAUUUAAGGAAUAAUUUGUAUUUAUUAGUUUUUUUUUUGUUGGGAAUUAGUUUAACAAAAAAAAAUUAGUUUAGUUUAGUUUUUUAGGUUUUCGGUUAUUUCGCACGUGGCGCAUGAGUGAAGGAACUGAUAAAUCUGAAAAUAUGAGCCGUGUUUGUUUUUUUUAAUUUAAAUUUAAAUUUUUGGUAUUAAAAUCUGAGAUGUGUGUGUUGUUUUUCAGGUUGGGGGGAUCUUACCAUGUUUAUGUUUCCUUAACCUUGGAUGGAAGUUUGGGUUGGAUCCUUGUAGGUGUUGGUGGGCCCCCACUGUUUCG
Molecule: long non-coding RNA, 5111 nt
Filed under: Prunus persica (peach)
Lineage: Eukaryota; Viridiplantae; Streptophyta; Magnoliopsida; Rosales; Rosaceae
Description: long non-coding RNA (PPER_LNC007396)
Source: RNAcentral